Molecule: long non-coding RNA, 2083 nt
Organism: Chlorocebus sabaeus (green monkey)
Lineage: Eukaryota; Metazoa; Chordata; Mammalia; Primates; Cercopithecidae
Source: RefSeq, a predicted model, not a curated record
UCUCUGUUUGUCUUUGUCUUUUGUGUCUGUUCAUUCUCCACCACCCCUGGCACGGUCCCCAAUACCCCAUAAUGUUGGCAACGAGAAAGGAGCAGAGGAUGUGACAUCUGAAGACCAGCUCAAAAGAGUAAACUUUUACCAAGGCUUAUGCACAUUCCACCCCCCUCUUCAUGGCGUUAUUUCGGAGCAUCCUCCUAGUUUGAUGCCUUUGUGUCCUCUCUAAAAAUCCCAUGGAGUAAGAGACUUCUGCCCAGCAAGCCUGAUGACUAGUGUACUGACACCAGUUCCAUAAGUACCACCAUCUUAAGCCUAUCCCACUGUUUCAGCUUUGAACUUCUAGUUGGCAGAGUGAAGACAGCAUCCUGUGAGUCACCAACUUUGUAGAGGAUGCCCAACUAUACAACAAAGAGUUGCCGAACAUUUCUCUGGAGCGAACAAAUAGUGUGAUGGAUGGAACUAACUGGAUCACCAACAUGUGAGAGACGGCUGGUUCACUGGCCUUGGCCUCCUCAGACCUUGACAUUAAUUCACUGGAAGAGGAUGCAUUGGUUUAAAGAAUUUUAGUUGCAAGAGGACCAAGGAAAAACGGCAGCUAGGAGGCAAGACUAACUUGCAGCUCCCACUUGGAUGGACAGAACAACAUAUGGAGACUCACAUCAUGAACUUUUGCUCCAAGAACUACCACAGAAACAUACCAGGAAAGCCAAGAGAAUCCACAGACCCUUUGAGGGAGGUGGAUGGCUACUGCGGGCUCCGUGGGACAGCUGAGGAACCGUGAGUCAGCUUGCUUUCUCAGCUUGGAGGUUUGUAGCCUCGGGCAUGUUCUCAGCUCUGCUCACAGGCUGCCUGGAAAUAAACUUGGUGCUACUGGGUGGGCACGGUGGGAGUGAGACUGGCCUUUCAGGCUGUGGGCUCUGUGGGAGCUAGGUGAGGCCUGUGACUGCUGCCUUUCUCCCACUUCCCUGGUGACCUGUGUGUUGCAGCAGAGGCAGUCAUAAUCCCCAGAGAACAGAAGUCCAUUGGCCUGAAAACCACACUCCCAUCCCCCACGAUAGCCACAGCAAGCCCUGUCCAAGGAGAGUCUGAGCUCAGACACACCUAACCCUGCCCCACCUGAUUAGUCUUUCUCUACCUGCCCUGGUAGCCAAAGACAAGGGACAUAAUCUCCUGGGAGCUAUAUGGCCCCACCUACUGCCUGACCCUAGGGCAAGCUUGUAUCUCCCUGUACAACCGCAGCUGAUAUGCUCCUGAAAGCACCACUUCUUGGCUGGAGGCCAACAAACACAAAACCAGCAUAACUUAACAAAAAUAGAACCACGGACCCUCACAGAGUCCACUUCAGUCCCCUGCUACCUCCACUGGAGCAGGUGCUGGUAUUCACAGCUGAGGGACUUGAAGACAGAUCAUAUCACAAGACUCUUUGUAGACAUUCCCCAGUACCAGCCUGGAGCCCAGUAGCUCCACUGGGUGGCUAGAUCCAGAAGGUAAAUAACAAUCACUGCAGUUUGGCUCUCAGACAGCCCCAUCCCUAGAAGAAAGGGGAGAGCACCACAUCAAGGGAACACCUUGUGGGACAAAAGAAUCUAAACAGCAGCCCUUGAGUCUCAGGUCUUCAUCCUGACACAGUCUAGCCAAAUGAGAAGGAAAAAGAAAAAUAAUUCUGCUAAUAUGACAAAACAAAGUUCUUUAACACUCCCAAAGGAUCAUACUAGCUAACCAGCAAUGGAUACAAACCAAGACAAAAAUCUCUGAAUUGCCAGAGAAAGACUUCAGAAAGUUGGCUAUUAAGCUGAUCAAGGAGGCAUCAGAGAAAUGUGAAGUCCAACCUAAAGAAAUAAAAAAAAAAACAAAACUGGAUAUGAAUGGAGAACUUGUCAGUAAAAUAGAUAGCAUAAAUAAAAAGCAAUCACAACUUCCGGAAAUGAAGGACACACUUACAGAAUUGCAAAAUUCACUGGAAGGUCUUGGCAAUAGAGUCAAACAAGUAGAAGAAAGAACUUCAGAGCUUGAAAAUGAGGCUUUCGAAUUAACCCAAUCCCACAAAGACAAAAAAGAAAGAAUAAUAAUAAAAAAAAAGAACAAA